GACGAACGCUGGCGGCGUGCCUAAUACAUGCAAGUAGAACGCUGAAGAGAGGAGCUUGCUCUUCUUGCAUGAGUUGCGAACGGGUGAGUAACGCGUAGGUAACCUGCCUUGUAGCGGGGGAUAACUAUUGGAAACGAUAGCUAAUACCGCAUAACAAUGGAUGACACAUGUCAUUUAUUUGAAAGGGGCAAUUGCUCCACUACAAGAUGGACCUGCGUUGUAUUAGCUAGUAGGUGAGGUAAUGGCUCACCUAGGCGACGAUACAUAGCCGACCUGAGAGGGUGAUCGGCCACACUGGGACUGAGACACGGCCCAGACUCCUACGGGAGGCAGCAGUAGGGAAUCUUCGGCAAUGGGGGCAACCCUGACCGAGCAACGCCGCGUGAGUGAAGAAGGUUUUCGGAUCGUAAAGUUCUGUUGUAAGUCAAGAACGGGUGUGAGAGUGGAAAGUUCACACUGUGACGGUAGCUUACCAGAAAGGGACGGCUAACUACGUG
Molecule: ribosomal RNA, 497 nt
Filed under: uncultured bacterium
Lineage: Bacteria
Description: partial 16S ribosomal RNA
Rfam family: Bacterial small subunit ribosomal RNA
Source: RNAcentral